Molecule: ribosomal RNA, 427 nt
Filed under: uncultured bacterium
Lineage: Bacteria
Description: partial 16S ribosomal RNA
Rfam family: Bacterial small subunit ribosomal RNA
Source: RNAcentral
UGGGGAAUAUUGGACAAUGGGCGAAAGCCUGAUCCAGCCAUGCCGCGUGUGUGAAGAAGGUCUUCGGAUUGUAAAGCACUUUAAGUUGGGAGGAAGGGCAUUAACCUAAUACGUUAGUGUUUUGACGUUACCGACAGAAUAAGCACCGGCUAACUCUGUGCCAGCAGCCGCGGUAAUACAGAGGGUGCAAGCGUUAAUCGGAAUUACUGGGCGUAAAGCGCGCGUAGGUGGUUUGUUAAGUUGGAUGUGAAAUCCCCGGGCUCAACCUGGGAACUGCAUUCAAAACCGACUGACUAGAGUAUGGUAGAGGGUGGUGGAAUUUCCUGUGUAGCGGUGAAAUGCGUAGAUAUAGGAAGGAACACCAGUGGCGAAGGCGACCACCUGGACUAAUACUGACACUGAGGUGCGAAAGCGUGGGGAGCAAACA